RNAcentral lists this long non-coding RNA (1389 nucleotides) under Numida meleagris (helmeted guineafowl). Its description in RNAcentral is "lncRNA (ENSNMEG00000005877.1)". Lineage: Eukaryota; Metazoa; Chordata; Aves; Galliformes; Numididae. The record is from RNAcentral.
ACUAGUUCAGUAGGGAUUUGCUGCUUAUGUUAAGUCUCCUUUUGCUUAUAGAGCGGCUCGGGCAUCCCGAUGGUGCGUCAGGCCUGACAGUAUGGGGUAUAGGGAUGCCGCUUCUGGUCCCUGAAAGAGGGGAAGGAGGUGGGAGCUUACAUGAGGAAGAUUCAGGGGAUCCGUGGAAGCCUGGAAGUCGGUGACAGUCAGUCCUGCCUGGAAAAUUAUUUCAUCACUUGGAUGCUGAGAAAAGCCCUCGACGUAUGGGUGCUGCGAUGCUGCAUGCAUGGCUGUACCCUGCUGCAGGAGAGCUGAUUGGAAGCUAUUGCAGUGGCCUACUCUCAAGGAUCCCUCAACACAAUGACAGUACAGAGCAUGAGGGAGAGAGACUCCAAGAGGAGGAUCCAUGGAAACCUGUAUGGGGAGCUGGGAGCUGCUGGAGUACCCGAAAGGAAUUGCCCAAGGAGAAGUCAGGGUGGGGGAGGACGCUGAACUUCUGGCUGCCAUGCACUGAAUUGAGCACUGCUACUAAAUGUGCACAUCUCUGGUCAGCACUUUUCCCCUCAGAAAAAUGAGAGCGGAGCAGUUUCUUGAUUUAUUCAGGAACGUACGACAAAGCAGGCUGCCGCUCCGAGCUCUGAAAGCUUUGUUUGUGUGAGCUUUGCGGGGAAUGUCUGCGAGUGAGAAAUAGGCAGAAAUGUGUUGGCAGUUCUUCGCUUCUUAUUGUUAAGAAUUGUAUAGUCAAUGAAUGGUGUCUCACCCUUCUUCUGACUUUGCCUCAGUCUUCACGGUGCUGGUUUCUUAACUUAUUAUCUUGAAAGUUGCUAAUUGUGCCCCUUAGUUUUGCAGAAUUGGUCCAGGAAAUGCAGCCUCUUUCAAAUUCUCCUUGUGUUCUCCUCUGUCCUUGUCAGCUCAUCCUUCAGGCUUGCACUACUGUCUCUUUGAUUUAGAUGCAAUGCUAAGCCUAUCUAGUUAAGUCUGAGCUGGCACUUUGUGAAGGGAAGUAAAUACUUGCAGUCACCUGCAUCUACUGGAUCCAGUUUCCAUCUGUCUUGUGUGGAGGACCGUGAUGUUUUUACACCAUCACACCUCUAUUACAAGAUGCCCUUUUACACCUCUCUUUACAAACAGCUUGCGUGGUACUGUGACCAAAUUAAAUGGUGGUGCAAGCGGGUGCGGCUCUGCAACCAUAUGGAGCUACACUAGGCUGCACUUGCCCUGUGAUGUUUGCUGUUCAUUGCACUUCACUUGCAAUAUGGGAAAAUGCUCUUUGCAUUCAUAGUGGGACAGUGAGCUGUGAUACUCUCUUCCCUUUCUCUUCUGAUGAAACAAAUCUCUUUGAGGUAGACUGCUCACACUAAGCCAAAGCCUUCAGCAAAUCCUCUGCUACAUUACUGU